CUGGCGGCGUGCCUAAUACAUGCAAGUCGAACGCACAGCGAAAGGUGCUUGCACCUUUCAAGUGAGUGGCGAACGGGUGAGUAACACGUGGACAACCUGCCUCAAGGCUGGGGAUAACAUUUGGAAACAGAUGCUAAUACCGAAUAAAACUUAGUGUCGCAUGACACAAAGUUAAAAGGCGCUUCGGCGUCACCUAGAGAUGGAUCCGCGGUGCAUUAGUUAGUUGGUGGGGUAAAGGCCUACCAAGACAAUGAUGCAUAGCCGAGUUGAGAGACUGAUCGGCCACAUUGGGACUGAGACACGGCCCAAACUCCUACGGGAGGCUGCAGUAGGGAAUCUUCCACAAUGGGCGAAAGCCUGAUGGAGCAACGCCGCGUGUGUGAUGAAGGCUUUCGGGUCGUAAAGCACUGUUGUAUGGGAAGAACAGCUAGAAUAGGAAAUGAUUUUAGUUUGACGGUACCAUACCAGAAAGGGACGGCUAAAUACGUGCCAGCAGCCGCGGUAAUACGUAUGUCCCGAGCGUUAUCCGGAUUUAUUGGGCGUAAAGCGAGCGCAGACGGUUUAUUAAGUCUGAUGUGAAAGCCCGGAGCUCAACUCCGGAAUGGCAU
This 608-nucleotide ribosomal RNA is filed under the name Leuconostoc mesenteroides. RNAcentral's name for it is "bacterial SSU rRNA". It matches the Rfam family "Bacterial small subunit ribosomal RNA", at positions 36 to 626 of the family's 1533-position model. The record is from RNAcentral. Lineage: Bacteria; Bacillati; Bacillota; Bacilli; Lactobacillales; Lactobacillaceae.